CCUACGGGAGGCAGCAGUGGGGAAUAUUGCGCAAUGGGCGAAAGCCUGACGCAGCGACGCCGCGUGAGGGCUGCAGGUCUUCGGAUCGUAAACCUCUGUCAGCAGGGAAGAACGGUCACUGUGCUACCCAGCAGUGAAUUUACGGUCCCUGCAAAGGAAGCACCGGCUACCUCCGUGCCAGCAGCCGCGGUAAUACGGAGGGUGCGCGCGUUAAUCGGACUUGCUGGGCGUAAGGCGCUCGUAGGAGGUAUGUCAAGUCAAGGGUGAAAUCCCCGCGCUCAACGUGGGAACUGCCUUUGAAACGGGCAAACUUGAGUGUGUGAGAGGAUAGGGGAAUUCCAGGUGUAGGAGUGAAAUCCGUAGAUAUCUGGAGGAACAUCAGUGGCGAAGGCGACUAUCUGGCACAUAACUGACGCUGAGGAGCGAAAGCGUGGGUAGCAAACAGGAUUAGAUACCCCUGUAGUC
This 465-nucleotide ribosomal RNA is filed under the name uncultured bacterium. RNAcentral's name for it is "partial 16S ribosomal RNA". It matches the Rfam family "Bacterial small subunit ribosomal RNA", at positions 338 to 795 of the family's 1533-position model. The record is from RNAcentral.